AAACCAUGAUGGGACUGGUUGAUGUAGCUUCUAAAUCUUUCCCAUGCUUCCCCAAAGAUCUCAUUUGUGUGUUGGGUAAACCUUGAGAUUUGAUUUCUGAGCUU
This 104-nucleotide small nucleolar RNA is filed under the name Eutrema salsugineum. RNAcentral describes it as "Plant small nucleolar RNA R71". It matches the Rfam family "Plant small nucleolar RNA R71". Rfam says of the family: R71 is a member of the C/D box family of snoRNAs containing the C (UGAUGA) and D (CUGA) box motifs. Multiple nearly identical copies of this snoRNA have been identified in Arabidopsis, and it is thought to function as a 2'-O-ribose methylation guide for 18S ribosomal RNA. Lineage: Eukaryota; Viridiplantae; Streptophyta; Magnoliopsida; Brassicales; Brassicaceae. The record is from Rfam by way of RNAcentral.